AUGGUUUUUGCGAAAUCUGCGUAUGCCAAGAUAGGGGCCUGUAGCAGCUCCUGCUUCAAUGUCUGGAACGCCGACUCACAAUUUGCAUCCCAGUCUACGUUGGGCGACCCCCGGCCCCGAUCACGGCCUCACUGUCCUCGGGGCCUUCCAGUCCUUCACGGCCGAUACCUUUCCAGGAUCUACGGACACUCCAGCCGCACUGACCACGUGGCCCAGAAAGUUGACUUCUCUCCGUAGUAAGUGACACUUAUUGGGCUGUAGUUUCAAUCCGUACUUCUCCAUGGCCCGAAAGACUUCCUCGAGGUGCCUCAGGUGUGAAUCAAAAAUCUGGGGAGUAGACAAUCACAUCAUCCAGGUAAACUAAUACUGACUCCAUUAACUGACCUCCCAAGCACCGCUGCAUCAGCCGCUGGAAGGUGGCCGGAGCGUUACAGAGCCCGAAAGGCAUCCGGUCCCAUUCAAAUAGUCCAAACGGGGUUGUAAAGGCAGUCUUCUCCCGGUCUGCUUCGGCCACCUGCACCUGCCAGUAGCCACUGGCCAAAUCUAAGGUAGAGUACCAUGCCGACUGCGUGAGGCUGGCAAGCGAAUCUUCGAUCCGUGGCAAAGGGAAAGCGUCUUUCUUAGUCACGAGGUUCAGCUUACGGUAGUCCACGCAGAAUCUCCAAGCCCCCGUCUUCUUUUGCACCAGCACUAUGGGGGCCGCCCACGGGCUGCUGCUUUCCCUGACAACUCCUUGCUUCAGCAUGCCUUGCAGGAGUGUACGUACCUCGGUAUACAAAGUGGGCGGAAUUGGGCGAUACCUCUCCCGGCUGGGCCCUGCAUCCCCGGUAGGUAUAUGAUGUUGUACCACCUGGGUGCAUCCGUAGUCUUCAUCGUGGGUGGCGAACACAUGCUGCCAUCUCCGAAGGAGGGCCUGUAACUUCUGUGUCUGUGCUUGCUCUAAAUCCUCCCCUUGUAAUGACUCACCCGCCAGGUGGCUCGGCACACUCCUCUCCAUACCACCCCAUGGGGUGUCUACUUGUGUCAGGGCCACCUCGAUGACAGUGGGGCACACCUGACGAAAACUAAUAUCCCUCUCUUCCCUUACUUGGUGGGGUGUAACCGUUGUCAGACGGGCUAAUCGUUGGUG
Long non-coding RNA from Cyprinus carpio carpio, 1129 nucleotides. NCBI's taxonomy places the organism in Eukaryota, Metazoa, Chordata, Actinopteri, Cypriniformes, Cyprinidae. The record is from Ensembl.